GACGAACGCUGGCGGCGUGCCUAAUACAUGCAAGUAGAACGCUGAAGCGAGGAGCUUUCUCUUCUUGGCUGAGUUGCGAACGGGUGAGUAACGCGUAGGUAACCUGCCUUGUAGCGGGGGAUAACUAUUGGAAACGAUAGCUAAUACCGCAUAACACUGGAUGACACAUGUCAUUUAUUUGAAAGGGACAAUUGCUCCACUACAAGAUGGACCUGCGUUGUAUUAGCUAGUAGGUGAGGUAAUGGCUCACCUAGGCGACGAUACAUAGCCGACCUGAGAGGGUGAUCCGCCACACUGGGACUGAGACACGGGCCAGACUCCUACGGGGGGCAGCAGUAGGGAAUCUUCGGCAAAGGGGGCAACCCUGACCGAGCAACGCCGCGGGGGUGAAGAAGGGUUUCGGAUCGUAAAGCUCUGUUGUAAGGCAAGGACGAGUGUGAGGGUAGAAAGUUCACACUGUGACGGUAGCUAACCAGAAAGGAACGGCUAACUACGUG
RNAcentral lists this ribosomal RNA (497 nucleotides) under uncultured bacterium. RNAcentral's name for it is "partial 16S ribosomal RNA". It matches the Rfam family "Bacterial small subunit ribosomal RNA", at positions 28 to 507 of the family's 1533-position model. The record is from RNAcentral.